Felis catus (domestic cat) is the source of this 85-nucleotide non-coding RNA. NCBI's taxonomy places the organism in Eukaryota, Metazoa, Chordata, Mammalia, Carnivora, Felidae. The record is from Rfam.
GACUGGGUGGCUCAGUCGGUUGAGCAUCUGGCUUGGGCUCAGGUCAUGAUCUCACAGUUUGUGGGUUUAAGCCCCACAUCGGGCU